GACGAACGCUGGCGGCAGGCCUAACACAUGCAAGUCGAGCGGGGAGCAAUCCCUAGCGGCGGACGGGUUAGUAACGCGUGGGAACAUACCUUUGGUACGGAAUAGCCUCGGGAAACUGAGAGUAAUACCGUAUGUGCCCUUCGGGGAAGAUUAUCGCCAAAGGAUUGGCCCGCGUUGGAUUAGGUAGUUGGUGGGGUAAUGGCCUACCAAGCCUACGACCCAUAGCUGGUUUGAGAGGAUGAUCAGCAACACUGGGACUGAGACACGGCCCAGACUCCUACGGGAGGCAGCAGUGGGGAAUCUUAGACAAUGGGCGCAAGCCUGAUCUAGCCAUGCCGCGUGAGCGAUGAAGGCCUUAGGGUUUGUAAAGCUCUUUCAGAUGGGAAGAUAAUGACGGUACCAUCAGAAGAAGCCCCGGCUAACUCCGUGCCAGCAGCCGCGGUAAAGUGACUACUG
Molecule: ribosomal RNA, 456 nt
Filed under: uncultured bacterium
Lineage: Bacteria
Description: bacterial SSU rRNA
Rfam family: Bacterial small subunit ribosomal RNA
Source: RNAcentral